Long non-coding RNA from Equus caballus (horse), 4905 nucleotides. Lineage: Eukaryota; Metazoa; Chordata; Mammalia; Perissodactyla; Equidae. The record is from Ensembl.
CUUCACGGGAGGCCUCGCUGGGGUCUUCCGCGGCCGCUCGCCCCGCCCGGGGGCGCCGCGCUGAGGUGCGGGGGCGCGCGGCUGUCCGGGGCCGCCCUCCUGCCUGCUCCCCGGGCCGCGUGCCGCCGGGGCCGAGGGGACGAGCCCCGGGAGCGUGGCUCCUGCUCGCAGGCGCGUGCUGACCUGGCGUCUCUGCGAUUCUGCGUUUGUCUCGAUACAGAAGUUAAACAUCCUGCCCAACAUCUGCAGGCCUUUGUCGUGAAAUCUCCUCGUCUUUGUCGUGGGCUUGUCUUGUUCGCGUUCCUUACGUGUGUGUGAGCGCUCAGCCUCCUGGCGGGUGAUCUCAGGAGAUAGGUACUGUUAUCUUCAGUGUGGAGGAGGGGAAGCGGAUGCAGAAGGGGUCAGUAACUCGACCAAAGUCAGACAGCUAGAUCACCCCUUCUGUGUCAUUCUUUGAGGAAAACGAGUUCUUCUCAAGGAGGAAAGUCUGAACCUGUCAAGCAAUCCCUUAAGAAGCCCAAGUUACCAGAAGGUCGUUUUGAUGCACCAGAAGAUUCCCAUUUAGAGAAAGAACCACUGACAAAAUUUCCAGAUGAUGUUAAUCCUGUUACCAAAGAAAAAGGUGGACCCAGGGGCCCGGAACCUACCCGCUAUGGAGAUUGGGAACGAAAAGGACGCUGCAUUGAUUUUUAAGCCAUGUAUUCUUUACCUUCACUAUCUGUUUCUGAAUAUGCACAUCUGAAUUAACUGAUUACUUUAUUUUUGUAUAUCCUUUAAGUCAUCUAAUUUCUAUAAUGUGUUUAAAAAUAUAUAUGAUGGCUUUGGAAGAAAAUAUGCUGCUAUAAAUUAGGAAAGGGAAAAUAUACAUUAGCACAUUAAUUUAAAUGUAUUGAGGUAUAUAAGUGAUGAGAAAAGCAAACUUUUCCUUCAUAUUUCAGUUAAAUCAGUUGCUUAUAAAAUGCAAAUGUGAAUAAAAUAAGUUUUUUAUUGAUUGCAUUGCCAUGUGCUAGGUAAUAGUGGCUUUUUAAAUGCGGAUUGAGUGGUGCAUUAUAGUUUGAGGAGACGACAGUAACAUCAGAAAGUCUUUAACUUGGAGCCAGAUGACUUGCGUCCAAAUCCUGGCUGUACUGCUUACUAGCUGUGUUACCUUGGAUAGGUUAUUUAUCUUCUCUGUUCUUCACUAUCUUUAUGUGUAAAUUGGAGAUGAUGCUCAUUCCACCUGAUAGGGCAGUUGAGACGAUUAAAUGAGUAAAUACCUGUGAACCGCUUGGAGCAGUGCAUAGCACAUACUUCUCAGUAAGUGGUAGCUAGCUUUAAACCAUAAAUGUAUUUAUCCAAGUCUCCACACUUCCUGGGGGAAAAGAUUAAGAAACUGAAAUUUGAAAUACUAAAAUUGAAAUUGUCUUAUAUGAAUAUAAUGUUAAAAAUCUUUAGUUGGAAAGUUAGUGAUUAUAUGCAUGAGUGAACUGAGGUGAAAUAGACAUUAGUUUGUGAAACAUGAAAUUCAGGUACAGAGGGCAAAUAGGAGAAAAGCAGCGAUGGAAUGGACCAGCUCAGUCAGUUUUGAUUGACUCAGAAGCUCCUACCGUGUGUCCUUCGGACAACUGGGUCAGAAAAAGUCAAGUCCAGUUGACAGAUGUGGAAUGAAGGAAGGAUGGAAACUACUGGGCUCCCCAAGGCGUCUUUCGCUGUCCUGUGGCCUCAGUCACAAAGACCGAGCCUUCAGCCCCCAGGACACUAAAAUUACUUAGAGAGGGUUUGCAAAGCCCGUAGAAGAAAGAAUGCAGUGGGCUGAUACUAUGUGAUGUGAACUGUAGGUGCAGUAUUAUUUGAGAAGAUUGUACGGAGACUUAUUUAAGAGAAGAAGCUUUUUAAAAAAGUGUAUUUUCCCCAGAUACACACAAAAGAGUAUGGUAAUUGGGACUAGUCAUUCAGUCUUGAUCCCAGUUGUCUCUCAGUCAACAUGUGUUCUUUUAAUUGCAGUUACUGUGUGUGCUGCUAAGUAAUAACCACAUUCCUUUAGAAAUACUCUAUAAUUUAGUCAGCCUUCAAUUGCCCAAAUUAUUGAAGAUUUUUAGUAAGUUAACAGUCCAGAAAUAUUGUGUUAUUUUGUACUGUAUAGCUUUGCUUGUGUUCCACAUUGAUCAUCAUGAUAUGUGAUAAGGACAACUUACAUAUUUCAGAAGCUAACAUAAAAUAUAUAAUAACUGAAGUGUUGUGUUAAGAUAAUAGAAUCUUUAACCUCUGUCAAUAGUAACGUGAUUCAUGACAGCUAUCAAAUAUAUAGGUAAAAGUUGGUGGAAUGAAAACAUACUUGGUCUUAUGUCCAUCAAAACCCUGAAGACUUAGAAAAGAUGAUACGGCAGCAAUGGAACGCGUAACUCAGAUCUGCAGGAAGUAGAGUUGACGGAGACGCAGCUGCUGCCCCGUGGGAUCCACCACCAUGUUCCUGCCGAGGCCACACUUCCCCAGGCUGUUCCUAGCCAAUGAGUGGGUAUGACGGGGCUGCAGUGAAGCAGUCUGAUGGCCCACUCCCCUGCUGGACGACCUUGGCUCAAGGACUCCUCAUUAGCCUGCCCGGAGUUUUCUUAGGACUGUGCUGCUGUCCGAGGCUCUUCCUGCCCAGUCCUCCUCUCCUUCCCUCUCCCUUCACAGGGGUCAGGCUCUGCCUGCUCCUCCCCUCUGGGAUUCACAAAUGUCUCCCCAGUCCUCCUCUCCUUCCCUCUCCCUUCACAGGGGUCAGGCUCUGCCUGCUCCUCCCCUCUGGGAUUCACAAAUGUCUCCCCAGUCCUCCUCUCCUUCCCUCUCCCUUCACAGGGGUCAGGCUCUGCCUGCUCCUCCCCUCUGGGAUUCACAAAUGUCUCCCCAGUCCUCCUCUCCUUCCCUCUCCCUUCACAGGGGUCAGGCUCUGCCUGCUCCUCCCCUCUGGGAUUCACAAAUGUCUCCCCAGUCCUCCUCUCCUUCCCUCUCCCUUCACAGGGGUCAGGCUCUGCCUGCUCCUCCCCUCUGUAGUUCACAGAUGUCUCCCCAGUAAAUCUUUUCUACAUUUAAUCCCAUCUUAGCAUUUGUUUCUCAGAACUGAAACUAAUAUGGAUAGUUUUAAAAAGAACAACUUAUAGAUAAAUUGUCAGAAAAUGUCACACAAAACUUGUGGGUUUUUCUAGUGUAAUCAUAGUUUAAAUAGUUUAAUUUUCCAUUGCUUGGGGAUUUCUGGGAAAUUAUAGGUUGAGCUUUUAUGUACAAGGCUCGCACCAUGGAACCUUGUUCAUAUUAGGCAUUUUGCUGGAAUUGAAUUAUGCUCAGCAUUUUUUCCUUGCUUUGGUGUCAGUUGCUAUGACCUACCAUGAGUCAAAAUAUAACAUUACAUAUUAUUAAACUUGUAAGAACAAACCUAAGCCACGUUCUGCUAGUAAAUAACACAUGUUCUUUCGAUGAAUAGAAUGGUUUAUAAUGAACAGACUUGGUAAUAGUAAUAAUUAAUGAUAUAUCAGCAAUUUUAAAGAUAAUUUCAGAACAGAACAGUAGUUUUUAUAAGUAUAGGAUAAGAAUGGCUGCAGGCUGUUAGUCAGCCAACACUUAUUGAUCAGUUAGAAGGAAAGUAAAAUGAAGAGCGCCUGGCAGGUUUGUUCAUGCAUUCAGUUGAUUCUUUCAUUUAAUCAGUGAUUAUUUGUCUGCUACGUGCCAGGUGUUCUGCUAGGCUUUGGGUGUUUGGUGUUGGAUUAAAGCAAACCCUUGCCAUCCUGGCAUAAAGUCUGGUGGGUUUGAUUUGCACGUGAGAACAGUUCCAAAGGACAGCCGACUGAAGCCUAAAUGCAUUGCAAGGGACUGUCCUUUGCCUCAACCAACCAAAGGGGCCUUCCUAAGUUUGAUGAGACUGUCACUUUCUGGGUUUUUGAUACUAGAGGACUCUUCAGAGACCUGUGUUUUCACCUUUUUAAAUCUAAACUGACCUUGUGUGGGCCAGGCCCAGUGGCCUAGUGGUUAAGGUCAGUGUCCUCCACUUUGGUGGCCCAGGUUCAGUUCCCAGGUGUGGACCUACACCACUCACCUAUCAGUGACCAUGCUGUGGUGGCGAGCCACAUACGAAAUAGAGGAAGACUGGCAACAGGUGGUAGCUCAGGGUGAAUCUUUCUCAGCAGAAAAUAAACUGACUCUGAGAUAUUUAUUAAUCAAGUUAAAUACUCAUUCUGUGAUCAUACGUGUUCUGACCUUGCCAUAGAUCAGCCUCCCUAGACAUUGACUAAGAAGAUGUGGAGUAAGCAGAGUGAUAUAAUUAAGGUUGCUCAAGCCAUUCCUGGCCCGAGAAGAACAUUUUUGGUGCAUCCCUCUGCACGAACACUGGAGCUAAAGCUGCCCCUGAUUUGCCUGAGCCGGGCCUGGCUGCUAUGAAUGAAUUAUAAAGGUUGGUGUGUAAUCCAUGCAUAUGAGGGUGUGUGUGGAUAUUGAAGGAUAUUUAUGAUUGGUAAGUACUCUGUGUCAGUUCUUUGUGGGCACCUUGUUCUGACUCUUCCCCUUAGAUCUUUCACUGUAGAAAUAGGUGCCUCAUUUUCUCACCCUGCUGACUCGGCCUGAGGCCUAAUGUGCUGCUUUUGCGUCUCCCUCUCUUUCUUUUCCUUCUCCUUAGGGCAGGCAAUUCCAAAUAUUUUCUCUAAACCAAUUUCCCUCUUCUAAUCACCCAAAUCUGGGUGGGGAAUUAAAGGAAAAUGUAGCCUUCUCUGUUACUCAAGGUUUUUAAAUAAAGAUGACAGAAUCUACCCUAUUUCAGUGGCUAUUAAACUUUUUGGUCUCGGGGCCCUUUUAUACUCAAUAUCUUUUGGGGUCCCUAAAUUGUUUAGGACACCAAAGAAGUUUUGUUUGUGUGUGUUAUGUGUGUCAAUACCUAUUAUAUUAGAAUUGAAAACUGAG